UUGCAACAACAAAACAAGAAAACCAUGCACUAAACACCGUUAACCUAACACAAGAACAUUCCAGGAAAGAUUAAAAGACGCAGAAGGAACUCGGCAAACUAUGAACCCCGCCUGUUUACCAAAAACAUCGCCUCUUGCCAAUAACCAUGUAUAAGAGGUCCAGCCUGCCCAGUGACUAUAUGUUCAACGGCCGCGGUAUUCUGACCGUGCAAAGGUAGCGUAAUCACUUGUCUUUUAAAUAAAGACUGGUAUGAACGGCACCACGAAGGUUCAACUGUCUCCUGCAUCCGAUCCAUUAAACUGACCUCCCCGUGCAGAGGCGGGGAUACAACCAUAAGACGAGAAGACCCUAUGGAGCUUUAAACUAAAGGCAACUGCCAAACCAUCAAACCCACAAGGAUAAACAAUAAAACAAGCAGAAAUUGACCUAAAGUUUUCGGUUGGGGCGACC
RNAcentral lists this ribosomal RNA (451 nucleotides) under Xenopus pygmaeus (Bouchia clawed frog). Its description in RNAcentral is "partial 16S ribosomal RNA". It matches the Rfam family "Bacterial large subunit ribosomal RNA", at positions 1689 to 2284 of the family's 2925-position model. Lineage: Eukaryota; Metazoa; Chordata; Amphibia; Anura; Pipidae. The record is from RNAcentral.